Paramuricea clavata is the source of this 653-nucleotide non-coding RNA. Lineage: Eukaryota; Metazoa; Cnidaria; Anthozoa; Malacalcyonacea; Plexauridae. The record is from the annotation of a GenBank genome assembly.
ACCGCAUAGAGGAUUUCGUCUUAAUAUCUGCUAGAUGGCUGUCUGCCUGUCUUUGACCAUAAUAUCAGGCUGCUGGAGUGCCGCUCUUCCCGGUAUAUUGGGAACUUGUAUUACUUGCAUGUUGCAAACAUCACUAGUUCACUACCUACAGCUUAUUACUCAAUUAUGUCAUUUUUUCUCAUUUUCUUCCUUUCUCUUUUUCCUUUUUUUCUUCCUUUCUUUUUACUUUUUUUUCUUUUGAGACUUUUAAGUUUUACCCUCCAUUUUUUUCUGCCAACCUCAAAAAUUUUCUGGGACCAAUGGUCCUGCGGUCCGCUAUAUUAUGCAGCCCUGGUUAUCAAAGCAGAAUAUUUUGAAACAAUUAACUGGUCGAGUGACAGGUUGGUUUCCGUAUGUAUGUAGUUUAAAAUACAGUUGUGAAUGAAAUUAUACACAGUAUCUUGAAACCUUUAAAUAACAGUCUGUAUACUGGUUGUAUCUUGGAACCUGUAAAUAACAGUCUGUAUACUGGGUGUGCGUUCGCCUAUUUGUUUACAUUUGCAGUUACUAUACAUUGGUUCAUGAUUUAUGAAAUUUGAACCAAAGCUGUAACAUAAUAUUAGUCACGGCACAAGUCACUAAUAAUUUUAGGGUAAAUAUUUUUCUGAAAUACU